CAUAUGGUUUAUAGUGUCAAGAGAUGUGUAUAAGGGAGAGUGGAAACAAAGCUUAGCAGGAGAGGAGAGCCAGAGAAGUGACAGGGAAGCUAUAGGUUACAACAGAUUUGUGAACUCAGCCAAGCACAGUGGUGGCAGGGCCUAGCUGUUACAAAGAAGACAUGUUUUAGACAAUACUCAUGUGUAUGGGCAAAAAACUCGAGGACUGUAUUUGUGACUAAUUGUAUAGCAGGUUAUUUUAGUUUCUGUUCUGUGGAAAGUGUAAAGCAUUCCAACAAAGGGUUUUACUGUAGAUUUUUUUUUGCACCCAUGCUGUUAAUUGCUAAAUGUAAUAGUCUGAUCAUGAUGCUGAAUAAAUGUGUCUUUUUUUAAA
Prionailurus viverrinus (fishing cat) is the source of this 373-nucleotide long non-coding RNA. RefSeq lists it as uncharacterized. The transcript has 3 exons. The record is from RefSeq and is a predicted model, not a curated record. Lineage: Eukaryota; Metazoa; Chordata; Mammalia; Carnivora; Felidae.